RNAcentral lists this long non-coding RNA (17998 nucleotides) under Chlamydomonas reinhardtii. Its description in RNAcentral is "long non-coding RNA (CREI_LNC001292)". The record is from RNAcentral. Lineage: Eukaryota; Viridiplantae; Chlorophyta; Chlorophyceae; Chlamydomonadales; Chlamydomonadaceae.
GCACGUCUUGCCGAGGCAAGCCUAUACACGGCGGAUAUUUCUUUCGAGGGCGAACCUAGCCAGGCGUGGAGUACGUUGGUUUGAAUGUUGUUUGCGUAGAAAACUCCAGAUGUGGCUACGGAGUUGCGGAAGGGAUGAAUUUCUGCUGAACCCCAUUCCAGGCCCAGCCCUGGCCCUGAUAGCCCCGACCGCUCCCGGGGGACUGUUUGCAGGCUUGCCGUUAUCUUACAAGGUACCAGACUUCCUGCCAACAACGUCAGAUACCGAGAAGGUUGCAGGUCUGGGCGUUAAGCCCAGGAAUAUCGGCAUGCCAUUUCGUAACCAGCACUUUCUGGCAACCCGGUGCACACAACCUCCUCUGUCUCUGCUUCUCCGGUCAGGCCGCUCAAGCGGUCACUUGCUCAUGUGGAUAUGUGCACUUCAUUGAGUGCGCGCCUGCAUUGGGAUGCAGAUUCAACUGUAGAACCUCUGCCAGGGGAGUGGCACUCCCCUGACCUCUGCCCCUUGCGCUUACUCAAUACGAUUCCAUCGACUAGAGGCUGUUGCCACACGUCGUACUGCUCAUACAGGCCUCACGCGUUUUACUAAGCUAGCAUGAACGUCAAUGGGGGGGGCUGUGCGCGUUCAGGGGUACACGGUGGACGUUCGGGACAGUCGUUGCGGAUGGGCGGGAGAGGACAGUUCGUGCGGGAUCUGUGCGGCAGGCACGGUAAUUGAUGGGGGCGCCUGAAAAGACAGAUGAGCCAGUGCGGACCGGGGGAGGGAGCGAUUGGACUUGCUGUUCGCGCGACUGAAGAUGGAGGGAUGGGCGAAACAGGGGAAAUCGGUAACGGUAGUGGAGGGUCGGAGAACUUGGUUGGGCGGGGAAAGUAGUGGGAGGAGUGGGAAAAGUGUCUGUGUGUUCGUGGGGCGGCGGGAACGUGGCCCGCCGAGACUGCGCAAGUUCAGAAAAGACAGAAUGGAAGGUUCCAGACGAGGCCCGUGCUCAUGACGGCUUUUAUACGAGCUUUUAGCACACGUCCAUCACAUCUAUAUUGCCCAGGGGGCGACUGCGUUGCAAUCUCAGCACACAGCAUGCCAAGUUAUUGCACGCUCGUCCCAUGACAACUACAUCAGCGGGCAGACGUGAUCAAGGACUGGGCGCCAAAUUAAAUCACGUCAACACUCCGUAUACGUUGUUUUUACCCGCCGUUUCCUACGGAGAAAGCACGCAGAUACGGUCAAUUCAAUCUGGAAGCUCACACUUGGCGGUACAAACGUCUAAGUCUGCACACGCACGUCAGGCUGCGGUCACGCCUGAAUGCAUGAACAUGUAACACAUUUCACCUUGCUUUUAUAUCAUGGCUAUUCACGUGCCAACCUGCUGGGAGUUUCUGUCUCCAUCAACCUGCACUUCAAGCCAUAGUGUCGCUCCUGCAUCACGUUCCUACAGGCCACGCCGCGCGUGGCCAACACGCCAGCACACGCCGGGUUCUGCGCGGACCCGGCCGUGGACCGCACACACCCCCGCCGCAUUCACGGUGCCACGAGGCCGCACCCCACGUAGCAUACCGCAACACAUCACAGGUUCUUGGUGCUGAUGUAGUAGGGGCAGACCGCAAUGCUGAAGACGUUGCCUGCGGAUCGGCAGCAGUCCAGAGAAUGGAUACCAGUCACCACCGUAAUCCACACGCGUAACCCAGUUGCUACAGCCAUACGUAUCUAGAGGCAGGGUAUAUAUGUUUGUAUGUGCGGUUGUACGUUGUAUGUGCGCGCGUGCAGCGUGCGGACCUCCCCUCCUCAAUCUGCACGUAGACAGUGCCGGCCACACAGCCACUCCCCCGGUCCGAUGCACGCCGCUGUCACGUCCGAUGAAACGUCACGCCACGUUCCACCCACCCUGCCGUUGAGACUAUUCCAUUCGUAUGGGCUCUGGCUUGUAAUGUGCCUACCCACCCACCCACCCACCCACCCACCCACCCACCCACCCAGUCCUCCCACCACGCCCACGCCCACCUGUGAUGUGCUCCAGGCGCCACAUGCGCUCCCGCGCCCGCCGCCGCAGCACCACCACGUCGUACAGGUCGUCCAGCAUCUGGUGGUGGGCGGGUGGGGCGGGGGGCGGGCCGGGGUCAGUCGAGUGGCCGUGGGGCCUUCACGACUACGGACAAAGCACCGGAGCCGGUAAUUUCGCAUGACCAACCCUUUUCACCCACUGGGUAGCCGAGGUCAGCGCCUAACCAUACAUACAUAUACACACCCACCCACCCACCCACCCACCCACCCACCCACCCACCCACCCACCCACACCCACACCCACACCCACACCCACACCCACACCCACACCCACACCCACACCCACACCCACACCCACACCCACACCCACACCCACACCCACACCCACACCCACACCCACACCCACACCCACACCCACACACACACCCACACACACACACACACACACACACACACACACACACACACACGCACACACACCACCAUCAUGCCGCGCAUGGGCUGGAAGCUCUCUGGCUCUGAGACCCUCAAAGUCCCCCUAGCGAAGCUGUCCGUCCGCAUGGCCACAUCCAUGCAGCUGGACGAUGUGGCCACGCGGCGGGCGGACCUACACGAGGAUUAUGAGCGCGCGGCACAGGGCCUCCCGCCGCGCGCUGUGGUGCGGCGGGAGGACCUGCCAGCAGCUGCGGCUGCAACGCUUGGCGCCAUUAGGGACACCCUGGCGCGCCUUUGGCAGAAGGUGUGGUGGGAACGGCGACACUUUGAGACGCUGUGGCGGUUGGCCAUCGACGCAGUGCCGCUGCCGGGAAACUCGCAUAUGCCGUUGGCUCGCCGUGAGCCAUGCGGCUGUGGGCAACACGGCCAUGGGGGCGCCGCGGUGGAGACACACGCCGCCGCCGCGCCCACGCCACGGCAGCACCACUUCUGGGAUUGCGCGGUGGCGAAGGCCGUGGUGGCGCAGAUCAACGCACACAACCCCGGUCCGGCUCCCAUCAGCCAAGCCCAGCUGUGGCUGGUUCAGGCGCCGCCGGGUUUUCAGCAGUGUGUUUGGGACGUGGUGGUGAUGGCGGCGCUGGCCGCCACAGAACAUGGCCGGGUGCGGCUGCGCGGGAUGACGCGCGCCGCAGCGGCCCUGGGAAUUCAGACGGCGGCGGCAGCAGCUCCCGAGGCUGCGGUGGCAGGUGCAGCGGAGGCGGAACCCGAUCUUGACGAGAUCCCGCCCACACAGCUGACGCCGCCGCAGCCAGGCGUCAACCCCGUCGAGCUUGCGUGCGCUCGUGCAGUCGCGGACUUCUGGUCGCGGCUGAUGCAGUUUGCGCAGCUCGGCGUGCCCCAAAAGGGCUGGGAUGGUGUUGACGCCACUCACCCCAUCCUGGCGGUGGUGAACGGUGAAAUGCUGUGCGCGAUGCCGCAAGCUAUGGAGCUGGAGGCUUGAAAGGGAUCAGCCCUUAGGAGAAGCGCGUGAGCACUAACAUGAGCCACUGAAGCAGUGGCAUACGAGAGGGUCAGCGGGGGAGCUUAGUGGGCAGGCGAAGGGUUUUUUUUGUUUUACGCCCGUGGGAGCAGGGCCAGGUUUGCGGGGUUUUUAUGCCUGAGAGGGUGUAUUGGGUGCUGCAACACCCCGGGUCUUACGGCCUGGACCGGCCUAGUGGCCAGACGCGUUUGUGGCUGCCCUUAGGCAUUGUCUGCCCUGGCGUCGAGAGCUGGUUAGGUUGCGGUUGAGGUCGUGCAGGCUGCCGGGUCGUAGGACUCAGCCCCGCAGCCACUGUGGUCGUGCUUUCGCGUGCUGUCACGUGCUGAGUGUUUUGUUUUGUUUGCUGUUUUUGUCUGCCCGCCUGGUUUUAUUAAGAGGUAGCUCGCCCGCUGGGUCUGAGGUUGUUACACCGGUAGUAAUUCCGCAAGGAUUACUGGCGCGGUGAAGGGUCGGAGUGCGUUGCCCUGUGGACUCCAGAGCUGUUUUGCGCUCUGCCGGGGAAACGCCAGGUCACGGCAGCCCUCGAUUGAGAGCCCUGUCGUUGGUUAUACCAGAUACACGAUUCACGUGAUCUGGCAGAAUAACCGUGGAAACCGUAGUCACACACACACACACACACACACACACACACACACACACACACACACACACACACACACACACACACACACACACACACACACACACACACACACACACACACACACACACACACACACACACACACACACACACACACACACACACACACACACACACACACACACACACACACACAGAGAGAUACACACACACAGAGAGAUACACACACACACAGCACAACGUGACCGCAGCCCGAGUCCCGCACAUCCAACACCUGCAACUUUCACCCGGCCCCCUGGGUCCCCUCGCCCCAGCGCCUCACCUCGCGGUUGAGCGCGAAGUGUGUGUGGCGCAUAGCGUUGACGAUGGAGGCCAGGAAGGACAGGUCGAUCACGUCCAGGUCCAGCGGCACGCGCGUCACCGGGUCCGUGAUCUGGUACACGCGCCUGCCCUGCAUGUGUAUGCCACACGUGCCGGUGCAUGUGUUCGCGAGCACAGGCAUGGCAUGGGGUGUUAGAAGAGCACAAGAAAGGGGCGACAUCGUGCUGUACACGUGUGUGGGUGCACGCGAGUGGAAGUACAGUCGAACCACCUGAGGAAGUGUGGCAGGAUCGGCCAGGCGCAGUGGCCUUGAACACAGGGGUCAGUGUCGCACAGCCAUCGCGCAGUCCCUCCCACCCCCGCCUGUGACACACGCGCCGCCACCCACCAGGCUCUUCUCCAACCAACCGUACAACACGGGCUUGCGCAGGCGGCGGCGGUAAUGCACCACCCGCUCGCACCACCACGCCAGCUCCUUCGCUCCCUCCUCUUCUUCUUCCUCCUCCUCCUGCUGCCCAUGCCCCUCUCCAUGCCCGGCAGCCGGCGCCGCCGCCUCCACGUCAGCUAAGAAAGCUGCGACAGCCUUGCGCGCCGCUGGGCGCAGGCGCUGCAGCCGCGAGUCAAACAUCGUCAUCAAAAAGUAGUAUAGACAACGCACGCUGCAUAUCGGGAAGUGCGAAAGCGGCAAAGCGCGCAGCAAAACUGCACGCGUCCAGAACUGCGGUUGCGAAGGCCAUUGCCUCUGAGUCCGUGCUGGCUGGAUGUUUUCGUUUGUUAGGGCAGCAGCAUGCUCGCCAUCAAGAAGAGUGUAGAGUGAGCAGCGGGCCCCUUGCAGACCAAUGGGGUUUUAAACAUUGAUGCCAAAAUUUCACAACCAGAUCAAACUGUGAUUGCAACAGCGCGUUCUUACACUGUAAUCGUUCAGCAAUCGAAAUACACGCGUGUUGCCCUGAGCGGCAUCGCCGCGCGCAAAAUAGUAGUCUCUUUUGGCGCGCUCCGACAACUGGGGCGCCCGCUCUCGCCAGCGCUCUCGCCGUGUUAGCCUGCAAUCCAAUUGAAAUGAUGCAUUGCUCUCCCGACCAUUUCUAAUGCUGUGACCGGAUGCAUCAUCGUGGUUCCUCCGCUCACGCACUCCGCAUAGCAACACUCUGCCUGCCUUUGACUGGAACCCGCGCCCUGGCAACCGUCAAACGUAGAGCAGGUACAGACCACCCUCGCCAGCGCCCAACGGACUGUCAAAUUUCAUCCAGUCAUAGCAACUGCCCUGCCGUCAGCAUUCUUGCCCGCAUGAAAUUUACAUACCAUACAGUACCGUAAUGGGACACGCGCACUUAUCUUACAAGUUACAACUAUUCCCAGACCCCGCACCGGCGGUGGCAUGCCGCCCGCAAAUCCCUCGCCAACGCCCAGCCCCGCGUUGCCAGCUGCCGCCGCAGCAUGUGCACGCCGCCGCCGCUGGGGCCACCGCCGAGGCCGCCGCCUUAGCGGGCGCUGCCGCUGCCGCCCGCCGGAGCGCUGCCGGCAGGGAAGCGCCAGCCCAACGGCGUCGCCGCCAGCCGCGCCGCGCGCCACUCCAUGAAGCUCCUGGGCGCGUUGGGGUUGGGCCCGGGCCCGCCCGGCUCCGAGUCGGGGUCGAAGAUGUUGCUUCGCAGCCGGAUCCUUUUCAUCCGCCGCAGAAUUAGCUCCUCGCACCCCAUGUCAGGAAGGUAGUGAAGCCGCCCGCCCACUACCUCGUCCAGCGGCGGAAGCUGGUGGCGGUACGGAUCACUGCGGUCGGCAGCAGUCGCACGGCGGCAGGGAGGGGCAGGGGUGGCGGCAGGGGUGGGGGCAGGGGGAGGGGUAGGGAGGGGGUGUUGGACAGAAGCCACGUGGGUAACAGUGAAGGGACAUGCAGACGGUCGGGGCUGGGAAGGAUGGGCACGGUUGCCUGCCAUGCAUGGGCGCGUGACCAAGUAAGCUGAAUUACAAGGUAUCCCCAAACCAGACAUAACCAAGCAAAGGAGCCCUUUCGGUUUACCUGAAUGGCUCGUAGCGCCCAGAGCUGCAAUCACCGCCGCCGCCGCCUAGCCUGCUGUUGGCGGCGCCGCUGCCGGCUGCUGCUGAUGCCGGUGACUCCUUGGCCGGCACGUCACGGCCGGGCCCGCUGCCUGCCGCGCGCCGUGCCUCUCGGCCCUGAGCACCUGCGGCCUCCUCCGCGAGUGGCACGGCAUCGGCCGCACCGCCUGCUGGUGCCGCUGCCGCUGCCGCUGCCGCUGUGGCUGUGGCUGAUGCACCUGCGGUGCUCGAGUGAGUGCGGAGGUCCUCCCACUCAGCCGUCGCGGUCGCGGCACCACCAUGACCGUCACCGUCGCCCCAGCCGCCCGAUGCUUCAGCCGCAGUCGCGGCGGAGGGCUCCGCGCCGCCGGCUUGGUGUGGCUCGGGCGCGUCAGCCGCAGCGGCGCCCUUCCCACCCGCCGUGCCACGCACUUGCGCGGAUGUCGCUGCAGCGGCCACGUCUGAUGUGCCUGCGCUGCUCCGGUACACGGAGCCCCCGACCCAGCCUACCGGACCCACCGCGUCACCGCGAGCUUCCGCUUGGGCCUCAGGUGCCAUGCCUGCCCCGUCCCCCUCGCCGCCACCGCCAGCACACCGGCCGCCCUCUGCUUCGGCGCGGCGGCGCUUGCCCGACUCCGGGCUUGACCCCGCUGCCCGCUCGCCAUCCUGCGCCUGGCUUCCUGACUGGCCAGGACUGCGCCCCCGCGGGCCAGGCUCCGGGUCCCGCUCGCGCCCCUGGCCUCGGUCCCGGCCUCGGUCUGAAGCCUUGCCGCUGCUGCGGCCCGGAUCCCGCUUUGGCUCCGGCCCUGGCUUCGGCUCGUUGCCGCUGCCGCCGCCGCGCGCUCGCCCCUCCAGGUCAUGCUGCCGCUCCUGCUCGCCCUCGCGCCGGCGCUUCUGCCCCCGGUCGCUAUCACGCUCCCGCUCUCGCUCCUGCUCCCGGCCGCGUGUAGACUCCUUCUCGUCAUGCUUGCGUUGCUGGUCAUGCUCGCGCUCACUGCCGCGCUCCCGCGUCUGCUCCAGCUCGGGGCCGCGCUUCCGGUCCCCGCCCCUGCCGCCCUCCUUGUCCCGGUCCCGCUGCCGGUCUCGCUCGCGCCCCGGCUCCGCCGUGCGCUUUUUCUCACGAGACCGGUCGCGGUCACGCUUGCGGUCAGCGUCACGUGGCCUUUCGCGCCCCGAGCUGUGGGCCUGCGGCUGGUCAUAGUCGCUGCUGUUGCCCUGCGGCUGCUCAUCCCGCCCUCGCUUUUUAUCGUUCGGCUGCUGCUCCACGCCCAGCCCUUGCUCGCGCUCCACAGCUGGCUCCCUGUCCAAAGCCUGGGCCUGCGGCAGCGGCAGUGCUGCUGACAAGAGUGCGGAGAGCGAACCGGCCUGUCCUGGUGGCUGCUCGUGUGGGGACGGAAGAGGCGGCUGUUGCGAGGGCUGCAGCUGCGGUUGGGGCGACAGCGGAGGUUGUGGCUGCUGCGGCUCUAGCGGCUGUAGUGGUGCCGCCACUGGCGGCGACACCAGCGGCUGCUCGGCCGGCUGCGGCUGCGGCGGUGGCGACAUGCUUUGCACCGCAGACGGAGACAAGACGAUUGGCGUGCACCCGGUGCUGGACCGUCGCCGCAUGGUCCCUGAAGCAUCUAGGCCCUCCUGCUGCUGGUGCUGCAUUCCUCCUGCCUUAUCCUUGCCAGUUUGGCCUUGCUGCGCAGCCUGUGGGCUCCCCACUCCCACGUCCGGCUGCAAGGCGGCCCCCACCUGCCCUGCUGCCUUGCUGCGAUGCCUUUGGCUGUCGGUUCCACCGCGCUCUUCACGCGGCCGGGAUUCCUGCCGUUGCUCGUUCGUGUCAGGCACAGACCGCGGCGUGUUAGAAGCCGUCGGAGCAGCUGCGCCCGCUAGGUGUGGUGGGAGGAGCGACGGAGACAGCGGCCGCAGCGAUUCCUGCUGUUGCUGCAUCUGCAUCUGCUGCAGCUGGCCCUGCGCUAACGGCGGUGGCGGCGGUAGUGCCUGCUGCUGCGACUGUGGCUGGCGGCCCGUUUCCGCAUCACGGGACGCCUGUUUGUCGCGCUCCCGCUCCUUGCUGCUGUCUUGCCGCCGAGCCGAAUCUGUCCGGUCUCGGUCGCGCUUCCCUUGACGUUCCCGAUCGCGGUCACCGUCCCGGCUGCGGUCUCGCGCUGCAGGCUUCGCUGCUGCCGCCGCCGCCGCAGCGUCCGCCGCUUUUGGCGUGCCUGUGUUAUGACCAAAAGCACCCAAAGAUGCGGGGCGAGGGGAGGGCGGCAGCUGCUGCGGAGCUGCUGCUGCUGCUGCUGCCGCCAUCGUCGGCGCUGCCGGGCUUGGUCCUGUGGCCGCCGCUGCUGCUGCUGCUGAGGGCUCGCUGCUGCCAUGGCCGUCAGCCCGGUCGCUCUUGCUGGGUUCCGCUCCGCGUUCCUUGCCACGCAGCGACUGCUGCGAAUCUUUGCCCUCGGCACGCUCUUGCUGCUUGCGCUUCUCCCUCUCCUUCUCCUUCUCCCUGUCCCUAUCGCGCUCCUUCUCUUUCCCCCGCUCUUUGUCCCUGUCCUUAUCCUUCUGCUGCUGCCGCACCUUGUCGGCAUCCAUGCCGCGCUGCCUGUCGCCACUCACGGCACGAUCCCGGUCCCGGUCCCGGUCCCGAUCCCGAUCCCGGUCCCGGUCCCGGUCCCGGUCGCGCUCACGCUCCCGGUCCUUUGGGCGGCCGUCGCCGUGCUCCUUGUCGGCGCUGAGGCCCUGCGCCUCAUCCCGGCGCCGGCUGCGCUCUUGCUCCGGCUUCUGCCGGCCGCCCUCGCGGUCCCGACCGCGGUCUCGGCCCCUGGUGUCGCUACGCUCCCGCUCUCGCUCCCGCUUGCGCUCCCGAUCGCGGUCACGGGCCGCGUCGCAAUGGCCGUCGCCGCCGCCAGCUGCGGUCGAGUCGACGGCACGCCGCCUGUCGGGUGUUGCGUCAGCUGUGGACGUGGUGGCUGCCGGCGGCCGUGUCGGUUGGGCUGCGCCGUUGUCGGGCGUUGCCGCAGGGGCAGUGCCGCUCGGCGUCGUGACAGCGCCCCUGCCGCCUGCGUCGUCGCGCUGGCUGGCGCCAUGUUGCGGCGAGCGAGGCAGCGACAGCUGCGGCGGCGGCAGACCCUGCUGCAGCUGCGGUGGCUGCAGCGGAACCGCUGCUGCAACUCCUGCCUCCCCACCAGCACUGCCCGCCUGCACCGCAGCCGCUGCCGCUGCGCCUGCCGCAGCCCCCUGGGCGGCUUGAUGCCACGCCGCCGCCUCCUGGGGCAGCGGGAAGGCCUGCACCUCCCCGGGCAGGUGCAGCAGCGCCUCGUGGCGUGCCAGCGAGGCCUGCGCGUCAUCCAGCGCCUCCUCCGCCGCCGCCGCCUGCGGCAGGCCGUUCUCGGCCACCUCCCACCCGUCCGCCACGGGCGCCCACCAGUCAUCGCCUCGGUCCAGGAGCAGCUGCUCGCCGGGCCGCAGGUCGCGGACGGCCACCAGCACCGGCAGCACCACGCCGCGCACCGCAACCGGCACCACCUAGCAAUUGGAGGAGCGAGGCGGUUCCAAGGCCUACCUCAAGAAAGCUCGAAAGGGCAACGUGCAUGGCCUCGGGUUUCGGGUCACACGGAGUUUGGGAGCUGCAUGAAAACAGCCCGCAGCGCAGGGCGCUACCGCAAGACAGUCCCAGUCCGCCGUGUCACGCAAUACCGCGUCCGCCCCGUCCGCCUGCCCGCUCCCAUCCCCGCGCGCACCCACCACGCAGUUGGCCUGGCGCUCCUCCUCCGGAGGCUCCGGCAGCUCUAAGUCAUCCGUCGCGUGCCGCCGCUGCCCCGGGUCGUUCACCAGCGCCAACACGCUGCGUGCCGCCCCCAUGCUGAACAGCGUGAACUCCUGCUGCCGCGGCGCCGGCAGCUGCGAGUGCAUGCAGUGGGCGCUGUCCGGGGGCGCGAUACCUGUGCCUGCUCCGGCUGCUGCAGCGGCUGUUGCCAGGUCCGCUGCCGCGGCUGCUGCUGCUUUGGCGGCAGCCGCCGCGCCCGGCGUCUCCGUCAGCUCCGGCGGGUAGGGCAGGCGGUAGGACAGGGACAGGAAGCGCCACACCUCUCCAGUCUCGCCGCGCCGCCGCAGCUCCAGCAGCAGAGCGGGGUCGCCGCGAGCUGGGCGGUGGCUGGACGCCGCGCGCGGGUGGCCCACGUAAGCGAACUUGUAGGCGUCCUCAGAGCCGCCCGCAGUGCCCUGCGGGGCCGCACAGGUCGCGGGUGCGCGCGACAUGGAGCGAGCAGAUGCCUUACUACUUGCGUACAUCCCACCUUGACUUACGUAGAUCCCACCUUGACUUACGUAGAUCCCACCUUUCUUGCGUACAUCCCACCUCUGCCCGCUUCAUGACGACGCUCAAGAACCCGCCUUCUGACUGCCAUACUCGGGACGUCAAGCUACGCACGCGCUCACCUGCAGCAGCCAACCAGGCAUCACACCCAAGGGGUGGAACUUCCGGACCUCCGUGGUCACGCACGCGCCCAGCCCGCCGCGCCGGGCGUCGCGGCACGCCACCACGCAGGGUAGCGUCACGGGGCCGCGCGGCAGCGGCGUGGUGGCGUCAUACAAGUCCUGUUGUGGGAGAACGAGGGCGGCCCAGGUUUGCUAACAUUCCGUUGCAGAACCCUUUUGCAGUGGUCAAAUGUCAAUCAAGCGUCCAUAUGGACACAUUGUCCUGGCUUGUUUGGGAUCACGUUCGGGGCGUGUGCGGUGUUCCAGACUGGACAAUACGCUCGAGCGCACCUUGAGAUUCAGCAGGCUCGCAAGGCGGCGCUGAAGCACCCCGGUCCUGGUGCCGCUGCUGCUGCCGCCGCCCUCGCCGCCCCGAAAUAGAGCAUGCCAAGGCCUCGGCUGCGCCGACGCUGGCAGCGCCGCCUGCUGCCCCUGGCCUUUGUCUCCCUUUCUGCUGCCUCCACCAGGCAACGGCACGAUCUCGACUGCGGGCGUCUGCUCAUUGCCGGCGUGGCGUCGUAGCCAGUCCGCCCGCCCGGCGCGGGCGAAGGCGGCAGCCGCGGCAUUGCCACCGUCCCGCCUGACCGCAAACACGACGCCGCACAGUCGCAGCGACCCGUCGUCUGCAUCUUCCGCGGGCACCUCGCGUGCUGCUGCCUGCGGCGCGCCGCCGCCGGCCCCCGCAGCCUCCGAGGCACCAGGCAGCAGCCGCCUCCAGCGCAUCUGCUCCAGCGUGAUGGUGCCGGCGACCUGCUCCCACUGCGCAUCAGCGGCGGCGGGCGGCGUGAAGCUGGCGGGGUCGGCGCCGGCCGGCACCCAGCCGUCCGGGUCGUGCACGCAGGCGGCGGCGCCUGCCGCGCCGGCAGCCGCCGCGGUGCCGAGGCCGGGCUGCUGUAGCGGCUGGGGCUCCUGGGGCGACUUCCGCUGCUGCUGCUGCUGCUGCUGCUGCCCUGUUGCGACGUCGCGGGCCAGCGGCGGCGGCGAGACGCUCGGCUUGGGGCGCGCAGGCGCCACUGGAGCCGGCGGCGGCGCACGCGCCCGUGGCGGCGCGCCGUCCUUGGCCGCGGCCUCGCCUUUGCUGCCGGCAGACCUGGCGGCUGCCCCGCCGUCGGCACUCCGCGGGCUGGGGGCCUCCCGGCUGGUGGUGGCUGGCGCCGCCGGCGCUGCGGCCGCGACCCCGGGAUCCGUCACACCACGCGCCCCGUGUGCCACCGCCACGGCACCCCGCCGCGCCAGUCCUCCCGCUGCUGCCCCGGCACGCUCCCCCUCCUGCUCAUCGUCCUCAGAGCCCUCCUCGCCCUCAUCCAAGCCCUCAUACGCGCCCUGCUCCUGCCCCGACUGCUCGUCAGCUACGGCCGCGCCCCCCGGCCGACGCGAGACGCAGCGCACGGCGUAGUGCGGGGGGGCCAGCCGCACCGCGCCCGCCGCCAGCGGCCGUCCGGCAUUGUCGCAGGCUUCCAGGACCAACUCCUUGCCGACCGCCAAGCCCAAUCGCUUGCGCAUGUCAGCUGGAAUCGUCAUGUACAGGUUAGUCCUGCCGCUGCGUAAUGUACGCUGUGGAAUGCAGGCGGGGAGACAAGGCGGGGCGUUGGUGGGCCAGCGAGAGCCGUCGGAGCGCAUUAGAGCGCUAGCAGGUGGCAGUGAGGGUGCAGAGCAAAGUGACAGGCGUGGCGGGCGGGACGUUGGAUUCCAGACUUGGACAUGCAGGGAAUGGCGCGGCUCACCGUAAAGGUUUCCUUCGUCCGCCCAAUGUGCAGGACCACUGAGCUGCCUAUGCCCAGCCCGGCGAACCCGCCGCCCCGACAGCACCACGCCCUGGGGAUGAUGAUGCACCUGCGCCGGCAAAUAACAACACAGAAAGGGCCGGCGCAUGUUUGCACCACCACCCCUUGAGUGACCGCAGUUGCCAGGAGCUUCGUCCCAAGCCGAGUGCCGAAAGCUAUCAGCCAAUGCCUGCCAGUGUGGGGGUUCAUGUUAAUGCGCUUACCCGUCGGCGUCGGUUUUCGACAGCACCUUGCAGCAGGCCGGAAGGGCUGCACCCGCCUCCGCCGCCACCGCCGCCGCAGCCCUGUCCCCGCCAUGCUGUGCCGCCGCCGCCGCCGCCGCCGCCGCGAGGCGCCCAGAUUGUGGCAGCGCCUCCACGAUCACCUCAUCUUCGCCGUCCAACACGGCCUCAUCCUCGGACUGCAGGACCUCAUCCUCAUCCGGCUCCUCAUCCUCGUCUUCAUCCUCGUCCGUCACCGCACCCGCGGCCCCUCUAGCGGCCGCGCCGGCAUUGCCAGCGGCUCGGCCGGACCUGCCAUGUAGUCCCGCCCCGUCGGUGCCGGUGCCUAGGACCUCCAGACAGACGUGGCGCGGCGUCAGCGGUGCGUCGCCGGGCUGCAGCGGCCGGCCGUCCGCCCCGCACGGCGCGAGCGCCAGCACGCGCCCGCGCUCCAUGCGCAAUGCAUCCUUCAGGGCCUUGCCGAUACGAACGCCCAGUGCGCCCGAGAGGCCCACGUUGGCCUGUGCGUUACGCAUGGGCCGGAAAGAGCUACUGACGGGUGGAGCGUUAAGCGUAGGCCCUAGCAAAGUGUUUUGUUGCGCGUGUGGUCACGCAAGUUGUCACGUGUCAGCAUGUACACACGGCUCGAGGGUAUUAACCCCAGGAGUCAUAGCGCUUCGCCAAAGUGCGCCGCACGUACCUGCGUGAACUCGGCAGAACCGCGCACGUGUAGGCACAAGACCUGCCCCCUCGUGGUACCCGCCAUGACUCCUCCCGCCUUCAGCCACGCCACAGGGAAUUUGACCUUCCUAUAAAUCAGAGCAUGCCCGCACGCGUGAAGGACAUGCGUUAUCCUAGGUAUGUACAGAUCGGCAUUCCUCAUCAAGGCCCUAGAGUAAUGCAUGCUCUUGCCCGACUUGAGCCUUGUACACAGUCAAACAGCAUUACGUACUGAGCGCAGUCGGUUUUGGUGAGCUCCUUCAUGCAGGAAAUGUUGAAGGUGGGGAAUCCGCCAGCCACCGCGCCAGGCGCCGGCACACUGCCCACAGCAGGGCCAGCACCAGCAGCUGGAUUGGAUUCCGCACGCUCCAUCCCGUCGACGCCUUGACCCUCUUGCUCCCCCGGCUCCGCCUCCUGCUGCUGCUCGUCCUCCUCCGCAGCCGCCAUAUGCGCAUCCGCCUCCCCCGCAUCCGGCACUGCGGCCGGCGACCGCGCCUGCGGCCGCCGCUGCGGCUGCAGGGGCUGCUGCUGGUCCGCCCUGGGUUGCAGGAGCGCGGCGCAGCCCGCGGCGAGGUCAGCCUUACGCACGCACCACACGGUGAAGUGCACGGGCGGCACUUUCCAGUCAGCUGCCAUCCGGGCCGCCGCUGCGGAGGCGUUCUCAUGCGCCUGUGCCGGCGACACGGCGGCGGCGGUGGCGGCGGCGGUCGAGGCCCAGGGGGCGGGCGGGUGCAGGCAGCGCGCAAAGACGAGUGCGUCGCCGGCUGUCGGCUUGUAGUGAUCCAACAUGGCUUUGGUGUCGUGCAGGCGCUGAGCGCUGUUGCCGUUGCCGCGCACGCGCAUCUGCGGGUGUUGGUGCACAAAUGCAGCGUUGGCGCGACGUCAAAGCACCGGCCUGAAGACGGCCCCAGCGGCCAGCGCCAAUUCCACGCGGCAUGCAGCAGGUGCGGAAAACGCGCGGAAAAAGCAGCACGCGUGUGGUAUUCGAGCCACGGUGCGAUGCCGUGGCGAUGCCUUUAAACUUCCGGUUCCCCACACACGAUUCCUCCUUGCAGCUGAACCUACAACCCCUGCCAAAACCUACCGCCCAGCUCCCGCCGCCUGCGCCGUCGUGCAGGACCACAGGCCCGCAGAAGGGCUCUUCCUCGUUGUCGGCGUGUAGCCCGUGGAAGACUCCGUCCUCGCCAGUCAUGGCUGACGUAAAGCAGAUGGGCCCGCCCUUGACACUGCCCACCUCCGAGUUCGCCAGCUGCUUGCUACAGUGCCUGUCCAGACUGGCUCCUGCGCCGCCGCCGCGUCCGCCACCACCCAUAAGGAGCGGCGGCGGCUGAGGCUGAGCCCGCGGCCGAGAUCGAGGCGUCGGGCUGACCGACCCGGCCGGCCCCUGCGGCGUGGCUUGAAGCUGGAGCGGCGCCGGCUCCGAGCGAAUGGCGGGCUCUUCAGAUGAGUCUGGGGUCGUCUGCGGCGGCGGCGGCGGCCUACGCGGCACGGCGGCGCGGGCAGCGGCUGUGCCCGCUUCAGCUCCCUUCGAGUCUGAGGGUGACGGCCUCGCCGCGACCUGGACCUUUUCCAGAGUGGGCUUCCGUAGGGCCGGCGACGCGCCCUCGGCUGCAGGCGCCGCCGCCGCCACGACAGCCCCGCCAGGUACACGGCCCUGCUGCCGCUCCCACUGCGAGCCCGAGGCCUCCUCGCCCUCCUCCUGCCCGCCGUCUCGAGACGACCGAGACCCCUGCGCCCCUGCGCCCGCGUCGCCAGGAGCCGCCGAAGUCGGGCCCCGCCCUCCGCUGGUGGUGGACACAGCGCCCACGGUCUCGCCACUGUAGCGGUCGCCGCCACCACCCGCGCUCCCAGGCGCAGCGACUGAGCGGGCCCCGCCGCCACCGCCGCCCAAGCCGCCCAGCCCACCAACGUUGCCGCUGCUGCCAACCUGUGCAAGGCCCGACAGCUCCGCCAGCGGCGGCGGCGCCGCCGGCGCCGCGCCAAAUCCCAACGCCGGGUGCCGGCUGCCUUGCUCUGCGCCUCCGAGCCCAGCAGCCCCUGCUACCGCGCCCGCAUGCACGCAAACGCCGGCGCUGCCGCCCGCGCCCGCGCCCGCCGCUGCUGCGUCCGCCUCCUCGCCAGCGGGCCUGAGCAGUGCGACAAUCUCGUACGGCCGCGCCGGCCUGGGCGGGUCCGCAGGCCCGGAGGCGCAGCUGCCGUUGGCUCGCAGCAGUGUGUAUCGGCCCCGCGGCACGCCCUCCACAGGCUCCCGGAUGAGUUGCAGGCCUGCCACCUCGGGCGUGGUCGGGUCCAGAACGCCGCCGUCCGCCGUCAGCCACCUCGAGGGGCCGUUCAGGCGGAUGCGCCACGCCGCGUCCUUGCCCUUGCCCUUCGCCUUGCCGCCCGCGCCCCUGCCGGCCGCUGCCGCCCCGGCCGGGGCACCUGCGGCGGCGGCGGCGCCGCCGCCGCCCGUGACCUCUUGCAGCGGUCGCAGUGUGUCCGCAGCGCUCAAGCCGAGGACCGUGAAGAGCACCGCGCCGGCCCCGUCGCCGUCCGACACAGGCACCAUGUCUUGAGCUCCGGCGCCCGCGCCGCUGUCCAGCACCGGCCCCAGCUCGGCGACGCAGGCGAGGCCCGCGGCGCGCAGGUCUGCCGGCUUCAGGGCCAGCAGCUUGCGACGCGGCGCGGCAGGGUCGCGCGACGGCAAGACGGUGACUGUGAAGUGAAUGGUAAAGGCCCGGACGCAGUGGCCCGCACGCAGGGCGUCCAGCUGGUUCCCGUCAUGCGGCGGUUGGCCUGCAGUCGCUGGCUGGGGGGCUGUCGCGGCUGCGGCUGCGGCUGUCCCCACCGCCGGUUGGGUUGCUGCCCCCGCCUGGGUGGCUUCUGCUGCGUCUGCAGGUGCCGCUCCGGUGGCACUUGGCGCCGCUGCAGUGUCGGUCCCCGCGGCGGGUGCAGUCGCCGCAGCGGGCUCCCCUCCAGCAUCCGCCAUGUCAGCCUCCACCAAUGCCUGCUGUGCCUGCGGCGCAGCUGUGGGCGCUGUAGCUGCGGGGCUGGGUGCAGUCGCAACCGCAGCUGCCACCUGUGGCGGCGCGGCAGAAGGCAGGACCUCCACCGCAGUGCUGCCGGCGGGCGGCGGUGCUACUUCUGGCCCCAUCGCGGCCAGCAGCACGGCUUGCAGGGACAGCGGCGAGACUGCGAAUGCAGACGCAGCCGGUUGCUUAGGCCCCGGCGCAGGUUGGAGCCCGCAGCCGCUCGCAUGCACAGCGGCAGUCGCGGCCUCGGGAGCCGCCGCAGGAGGGGCUGUAGCUGCGACCGCGGCUGGCACCGGCUGCGAGCCAGCCUCGGCACCAGCUGUGCCACCGCUCGCGGCGGCGCCAACAUUUGCAGCAGCCGGGGCGGUGUCUGACCCCAGCGCAUGACCGCCCCCUACUACGCCUGCCCGCGGUGUGCCUGCAUCCGCCGCAGCUCCAACCGCCGCGCCCACGUCAGUAAUUCUGACCAGCAGCUGCUGCUGGGGCUGCUGCGUGGGCUGGUCACGUGGCUCUGACUGUUGGCCCGCCGAUGGCUCCAUUGGCGACCCAGCCGCACCUGCGGCGGCACCGGUGCUGACAGUGUUGGCAGGCGACAACGCAGCCGCCUCUGGCACCGGUGCCUGCCGCGGGAUUGCGAAUUUGUUCUUGCGGUGGCGGCGGAGCAGCGCCAGGGAGCUCACAUUGGCGAAGUCCACCGCCGGGGCUGCAGCUGAAGGCGCAGCCGUAGGAGGAGCUGAAGGUGCAGAUGUAGGUGCAACUGGCAUUUGGCGUGAGAGGUGUAAGAGAAGGCGGGGGCCACAGAGGGUAAGGAGGUGCGCGUGUCACGGUCUGAGAGGUCGCGCAGCACGGCGCAGCAGCUUCAACGACUUACGAGCGGUUCCCGCCGGAUUUCCACAGCUCCCCUUCGCUCCACCCUCAGCCGAUUGAGAGUCCGCAGGCUGUACAUCCAUGGUCAAAUCGUUGUAUCCCAAAGCUCAAGGCAUGGCACCUCGCUCGCGCAACUCUCCCGACAAAGGUGCACUCCCCGGUGAGCCGUUCCGCCGCAUCAUAGCAACUAUGGAGCUACAUGCAAUAUUUAGGCAUGCUUUUGCAUCGCUAAUUGCAAAAGGGACGUCUUGCCGAGGCAAGCCUGUACACGGCGGAUAUUUCUUUCGCGGGCGAACCUAGCCAGGCAUGGAGUACAUUGGUUUGAUGUUGUUUGCGUAGAAAACUCCAGAUGUGGCUACGAAGUUGCGGGAGGGAUGCUUCUGCUGAACCCCAUUCCAGGCCCAGCCCUGGCCCUGAUAGCCCCGACCGCUCCCCGUGGACUGUUUGCAGGCUUGCUGUUAUCUUACAAGGUACCAGACUUCCUGCCAACAACGUCAGAUACCGAGAAGGUUGCAGGUCUGGGCGUUAAGCCCAGGAAUAUCGGCAUGCCAUUUC